GGGCGCCGCCAUGUUGGGGCGUGGCUCGUGUGAGGGGGCGGGACGCGCGCCUUCCCUCCGCCUCUCCCCCGUUCUACGCGAUUCGAUUAGGCAUGGCUGCACGCAGGUGUUGCAAAGCUAGAGGAGAGAAAGGAGUACGUUGAAGAAGGGCGUUCCCGCUCAGCUGUGAGCAGAGAGGUGGGACGGAGCUAAAAUCUGGUGUUGAUCGUCGUGUGAGAGCACCUGAGUGAACCUCCAGCAACGAUAACACUGCGUGGAGGGAGCGGAGACAAAGCACAUAAUGGCGCUUGUGCACGUUUGCAGCUGUAACUUUUGCUGCUGUAUAUAUCUUUUACUCUCUGUCAGGAAAGGAAAGUAACCGAGAGAGAACUGAAAGGAAAAAGACACUUUACCUCAUAUUUCCAUCUUCCCAGUUAAAAAAGUGCAUGCAAGAGAACCUGCAAGCUAAGCAAUCAAGUCAGGGAGAGAAACGCCCCCAGCCGACAGCCAGGUAACAAAGGCACCACCUGCGUGUCCCUGUAUUCCUUCUCCUCAGUUCCACCUGAGAAACUCAUCAUUCCCUGAAGACCGCCCCCCCCCCAAAAAAAACAACUAAGGUACUGCAUUUCACACUGAGACUGGGUAAAGGAAUCUGCUACUGUAUAGAGCUUUCUGAGACACAUGAACCCUAGUUACCAGGGAAGUUGUGCUAAAUACACCAUCCCUUCAAAAUAAGGAGUCUUUUCUGCAAACAGAAAGCACAUCAUACUUCAUGCAUUAGACUGGGGUCAGGUUUAGCACACAAACAGCUACAGCCUGCCCAAGAGCAGACAAGCACUACAAUCAAGCCCACCUUUGAGGCUUACAUUCCCAGGGAGCACCUCUCUGUUGGUGAGCACAGAGUCCUGCAGAGCACCUCUCUUCAUCCACUUGGACAAGUUCUCAUCAAUGCACUCCUGCAAUAUACAUUGCUCCUCCAUCAGAUAUUGGCAUAGGCACAGUUCCUCUUGAGCUGGAAACAGAAACAUGAAGAAAGCAUUCUGAAGCAUUGGUGGAGUAGCCUGGCUUGUUGAAUGAAGUACAUAAAAUCCAUGCUUCUAUCUCGAUACUGAAAGGUGUCCCUCACUUCAGUUCUCAUUCUGUAACACUGAAGCAUUGUCUUGAGAACAACUUGAACAUUUCGUUCCUGUUAUCUGUGUCGAAAUUUCCAGAUCACCCCAAACCUCAUAUACUUGCAUAAAAUAAGUGGUGACAGAGGGAAGAGACUGAGUAUUCAGGUGGAGAGAAGAGUGGCAGUUCUUUAGAGUGAGAGAUACGUGACUCACUGGAAAAAAGAGAACUCAUUUUCAAGAUGAAAUGAAAAAAUGCCAUUACUGUGCUAAAUCAAAGAAAUUGUUAUUUUUGCUCUUUCUAACGUGAAGCAAAAGCUGGACAAAUGCAAUUUUCAAAAGGAGAUCCUGCUCUCCAUUAUGAGUAUUCCUGGAAUCAGUAGCUACUGGUUCUAUGGCCAGUGUGAAAAAAAAAACAAAACAAAAAACAGAGAGAAAAUAAAAUUUUCCUCCUAUCUCUGUUCCACUCUCAUUUUAAUACAUCUUCAGACUAAAGCAGUGACAUCUCAUUUUCGACUGAAGACGUUUGGAAAUGGAUCUCCUAAAAAGAUGUCAGCAAACAGGCAAAUAAACACAGAAUGCAUAUCUAAGCUACUGGAUGUUUACAAAAGGUACUGCAGAAGGGAAAAUGUACCAGAUGAAAUGGAAAUUAUUUCAUGAAUCACCUCACGAUUUCACAGAAAUAAGGGAAGUAUUAUUACUGAUUAUUCUCCAUAAAACAAGUUUAAAAACAUACCAUCGUCUAAAAAGGAAAAGUGAAAGGUUUCUAAAUUGGAUAUUUCAAUAUUGCUAAUGAGAAUGAAGUGAGCUGAUGAAUGUUGAAUCAUUCCUUGGCAGUUUUUAAACAAAUAUUAUCAUUCAUUCUCUUUCCUGCAUUGACAGAUGAUGUUUCUUGUUCAAAUGAGGCUUCCUGACUUUUGAUAAAGGCUGCUGAAAAUAGCACUCCCCUUCCCAAGCUGUAUAUUCACUUCUAGCAUAUACUGACAUACUGACAGGGAAUGAAAAUUUGGGAUGCUCUGCAGUGUUCUGCCCUUUCAUGAAGGGUUUGUCUUGUGUGUGAAGUAUGAUGUACACCAUGGUAUCACUAUAUCACAUUACCCGGUGAUGAAUUUAGAAGCUGCCACUGCUGUCUAAUUCAGCAAUCCAUUUUGAAAUUGAGUAGCCUCUUCUCUCCCUUCAAAGUAGGGCAUCAUUAAAUUAAAGUAACCUAUUGUGUGCAGCAGACUAGGCAAGAAGUGGGUGAUGUUCUCCUGCCUUCAGCUGUCUGUCCCUGCCUGCUGGCUGCUUUCAAACGGAGGAGACAAGUCUGAUGGGCUGCUUAAACUCGUUCCUUCACUUCCCUCCAUUCUUAGCCUCCACGGAGGGCAGACUUGGGACUGUAAAGAACAGCUGCUUACCUCACUGAUGCUUUAUAUACUGAUUUAAGUGUGUAUAUGCUCACUUUUAUAUCUUGUUUAUUCAUUACUGUGGAAGGCUAUAGGAAGUUGGAGCUGAGGAGAUGCUUUCCUGCAGGGGGAAAGUUGCAAGGUACAAGACUGAAAAUGGAUUUUGGAUUUGUGGAGCAGGCUGUGUGUAAGCAAAUGCACUUGGAUUCCGUGCUGGCUUUCUCCCGUUACACAGUUUUUGCAUUGUUCUUGAUCAAAAUGGAUGGAAAAUACUGAGGGUGUUCACUUGGUUUUGCUAUACUUGCUAUAAACAUUCUAAAUAGUGCUUUGGUUAAUAGUCAGACGGACAAAUGGGAAGGAAGCCAUCAGGUGGGUAGUCAGGUAGAGACACCUUGUUUGCGUUUACUGUAAGAGCACACUGGAAAUAUUGUUAAUUUAACAUCAAGCAUCCAAAGAUAGCACCAAUUCUAAUUUCAUCAGCAGGUGAGUGUGAAAAAUCGGCCAAUGUUUUCAAUGUAGAAGUGGAAAAAUAAAAAAAUAGAAAGCCAGUUAUGUAUUAAUUGUGAUAGAGCACUAUCUGAAUUUGAAGAGCUAGAAAUUCUGCCCAUUUCAUCGAGACUUGACCUAACAUUUCCCCCUGUGAGUAGAAAAUAUUGAUAUAAUGCACAGGAAUCAUUCUGUUUGUGGUGGGUUUUUGUGGUUGGUUGUCCUUUUCUUUCUUUCUUUUUUUUACUAGCCGUUGCCCAGAUGGCCAGUUAAUUAUCCUUCUGCAGGCAGAAUUAUUUUAUUUAAUGAAUUUUUAAAUGUCAGUGACGUGAAAAACCAUUACUGUGGUUGUAAGUCCAUUACUCACCUUCAGCUUCUAUUUCCCAUCACCCCCCACUUUAGCUUUAAGGAGCAUCUGAAGUGACAGAGCUUUGAUUUCAGUUGAGAGUGCUGAGCACAGAAGUCUUACAAGUAAUACAUUAUUAAAAAAUCGUAGCAAGAAAAUUAAUUUCUACUAUCGUAUACCAUGCUGGGUGUAUCACUUCUAACAAAUGACCUUUUUUUUUCAUAUAUUCAUUGGUAGAUUUACCAGGACAAAAUAAUUACUUUGUUUUCCACCUCUAAGAAAAAAAAAAAAGUCUUUUUCUUGUGCGUGUGUGGUUUUCUUGUUUUGUUUUUAAUUGAAAUAAGUACACAAAGCGAAUGGGUUCUAGAAGAUAAAAAGGAAAAGGAAAGAAAAAAGAAGGAACUGGAAAACCACACAGAAAUGAGGCACUGGCUCCCUGUCAUGUUGUCUGGUCAGUAAUAUUUCUUACUGUGAAAUUCCUGCAUGUUCUCAUGUUCAUGUUUAAAUCCUCCCAGAGAGAUUUUGCAUUGGAUCCUAGUUGAACUCAAGAAGGUAGAUGGUUAUGCGGUUUCUCAUAUUUCUUGCUUUUGAGAGGAACGUCUGUUUAUCCAGAGAGCCUUAUCUGGGCUUGGCGACGAGCACAUUCCACAGCCAGAAGAAGGACCAGACAGGAAAUUGACCCAAAAAAAGGAAUUAAUAAAGCAACAAGUCACUAUACUCUGGACCACCUCAUUUCAGAAUUCUGCUUGAAGCACACUAAAGACUUCAGUGAGACUUUCUGUGACAGCGUGUGGUAAUGAAACUACCCCAUAAGGAGAUGAAAAACAAGAUAUACUCAAUGGGAGGAGCACAUGCUUGUACUUAAAUUCUUCUGUUUCUCCUUCAGUCAGAUGGGCAAAGGAAAAUGCUGUCCUAUCCCAAGAAAUGCAAAGGCAUAAUCAAGUAUGUCUGUGCCUCUCUUGCCAUUUUGAUAUUGGGAACUCAUCCAGCUGCGAACCAAUAGUCUUAUAUGGAAGAUCAGAACUGCUGCUCCUUCGCUUCUUGAUGUAGGAUCUCUCUAUACACAAGCACUGUGCGCGAGUCUUCCCCUUAAAACUUUGAGCACUGCAUAAAUUCUGCUGGUCAAGAGGCUCAGACUGUGAUUUCAAAAGGAACUCCCGUAUUUGUCAACACGUAGCUGAUGAAUGCUCACAGCUAAGAAGUGGUAUUGUGGAUCCCUUUCAUGACUUAUACCUAUAUUUAGUAAGUAUGGAUGACUAACUAAUCCUUUACUGGGAGCAGCUACUGCAAAAUGUAAGUAAGUGCAGAAAUCACCAUCACUGAAUAAAUACUGUGUUGAGUACAGGACGUGUCUUGCAUUAAUAUUUUUGGCCAUUAGAAAUAUUAGAGCAACAGUAGGUUUUAUCACUAGACUGGUUAUGUGUAACCUGUGUCACCUUCCUUUCUUAUCUUUAAAAAUUUCAAGAUGUGAUUUUAUUUCACAGCUGUGAUAACUGCAGAAUAAUCACACCAAUCACCAAGUUACUUGAAAAUAAGUAAGUAACAACAUGAGACAAACCUUAUCUUUACUACAAAGGCAUGCACAAGUUGCUCUAAAUUCUAGCUGGCACUUUACGCACCAAAAGGCUAAGAACUAUUCAAUCACCCUGCUCUUCCAGAACUUCCUUUACUGACUAAUAUAUUCUGGAGAGGUACCUGUGGGAGGAUUGGAGUGAGCCACUGCCUGCAGAGCUAAAUAACAAGCAUGAACACAAGGUACUCACCUAAACAUCCUCCAUGAAAAUGCAGCUGACACACUUGAGGGACGGGAUGCCAUUCGAAAGAAGCAUGGUGAGCAGGGCCAGGGAGAUGGUCCUGUCCUCUACUCUGCGCUGGCAAGGCCUCACCUGGAGUACUGGGUCCAGAUGUGGCGUCCUUUGUACAGGAGAGGCACUGACCUGUUGGAGUGCAUCCAGAGGAGGGUCACAAAAAUGAUCCAAGGGAUGGAACACAUCUCCUAAGAGGACAUGCUGAAAGAGCAGGGGCUGUUCAGCCUGGAGAAGAGAAGGCUCCAGGGAGACCUGAGAGCAGCCAUUCAUAUCUAAAGGGGAGCUACAGGAAAGAAGGGGACAGACUCUUUAGAAGGGUUUAUUGUGAUGGGACAAGAGGAAGUGGUUUCAAGCUAUAAGGGGAAGAUUUAUACUGGAUAUAAGGAAGAAGUUCUUUGCAAUAAGGGUGGUGAGGCACUGGAACAGGUUGCCCAGAGAGGUGGUGGGAGCCCCAUUCUUGGAGACAGUCAAGGUCAGGCUGGAUGGGGCUUUGAGUACCCUGAUCUAGCUGUAGCUGUCUCCGUUCAUUGCAGGGGUGUUGGACUAGAUGGCCUUUAACGGUCUCUUCCAGCUCAAAAAAAUCCAUUAUUCUGUGAUUUUCACCCAGCCUAGUAUCUUUCCUGACAGGCUGUGUAGCCCGGCAGAUAAAGGAAGCAAAAUUAUCCUUCUUGAAUGUUAGCUCUUGCUUAGCAUCUUGGCAAAACCAGUCGGCAAAUAAACCUUUGUUUGACCUUG
Gallus gallus (chicken) is the source of this 5848-nucleotide long non-coding RNA. RefSeq lists it as uncharacterized. The transcript has 14 exons. Lineage: Eukaryota; Metazoa; Chordata; Aves; Galliformes; Phasianidae. The record is from RefSeq and is a predicted model, not a curated record.